AGGAAAGCUGGGAGACUACUGGCAAGAAGCAAGACGUAGGAAGGGAAGAAAUCACAGGAAGGGUUUGGAGAUGUGACUGUCCCACCCAGGUUAUCACCCCCAUGACCCUUCAGCUGGCAGGUACUGCAAGACUUGCCCCAAGGCUUUCAAAACUCCAGGGUUUCUCAAUCCUCCUCAGGCUUUGCGGUCCUGAUGCUGCUCCAGAGCUGGCAGGACCUACAGCCAGGGCAUCUUUGACACUGGAUGGCACAACUGGGCCUCUGUCCUUUUUGGAAGCCACUGCCUCCAGGAAGUCCUCCGUCCUUGGACUGAGUCACACUUCACCCUCACUCAUCAGCUUGUGCCAGGCAGAGGAGGCUGUCCGGCUCCUUUCCUUGAAGAUUUUUAAUUUUGCUCAACACUCUGUCCCCGCGCCCUGACCCACCCCCCACACCACACUGGUACUCCGUUCUACCUCAGACUUCUCCUUCAGGCUCUGCGUACAAGCUGGUCUGCUACUUCACCAGCUGGUCCCAGUACCGGGAAGGCGUUGGAAGCUUCUUACCAGACGCCAUCCAACCUUUCCUGUGCACCCACAUCAUCUACAGCUUUGCCAACAUCAGCAGCGACAACAUGCUUAGCACAUGGGAGUGGAAUGACGAGUCGAACUAUGACAAGCUGAAUAAACUGAAGACCAGAAACACCAACCUGAAGACCCUCCUGUCUGUUGGAGGGUGGAAAUUUGGCGAAAAAAGAUUUUCCGAGAUUGCCUCCAACACUGAGAGACGCACUGCUUUCGUCCGGUCGGUAGCCCCGUUCCUGCGUUCUUAUGGCUUUGAUGGGCUGGAUCUCGCCUGGCUCUACCCUCGCUUAAGAGACAAGCAGUAUUUCUCCACCCUGAUCAAGGAACUGAAUGCGGAAUUCACAAAGGAGGUCCAGCCAGGCAGAGAGAAACUCCUGCUCAGCGCAGCUUUGUCAGCAGGAAAGGUGGCCAUUGACACUGGCUAUGACAUCGCCCAGAUAGCCCAACACCUGGAUUUUAUCAAUCUCAUGACCUACGAUUUCCAUGGAGUCUGGCGCCAAAUCACAGGCCAUCACAGCCCCCUCUUCCAAGGCCAGAAGGACACUAGGUUUGACAGAUACAGCAAUGUGAACUAUGCCGUGCAGUACAUGAUACGUCUGGGAGCCCAGGCCAGCAAGCUACUGAUGGGCAUCCCCACCUUUGGGAAGAGCUUCACUCUGGCAUCUUCUGAAAAUCAGUUGGGAGCUCCAAUCUCAGGGGAAGGAUUACCAGGCCGGUUCACCAAGGAGGCAGGGACCCUGGCCUACUACGAGAUAUGCGACUUCCUCAAAGGAGCUGAAGUACAUCGACUCUCCAACGAGAAGGUUCCCUUCGCUACCAAGGGCAACCAGUGGGUGGGGUAUGAGGACAAGGAGAGUGUCAAAAACAAGGUUGGGUUCCUGAAGGAGAAGAAGCUGGCAGGAGCCAUGGUGUGGGCACUGGAUUUGGAUGAUUUCCAGGGCACCUGUCAGCCGAAGGAAUUCUUCCCGCUCACCAACGCCAUCAAGGAUGCCCUGGCUUAGCUCCCCCUUUCCCAUAUGGUACCCCCACUCUCUGGCCAGGAGUUUAAUCUCUUGCAAUGUUAAGUCCCCCAACUGAGCCUCAGUUUCUCCUUCCCUUGGCACCUGUGUAAGGGGCCACAGCAGGCUCAGCUAUGGAGAACAGGGAACUAGGGUAGGACGAUGGUGGGGUUGUGAGAGUCACAGUGUGAGCAGAUACACAACCCUGUUAAGGAAUGCAAAUUCUCAGACUCUAACCUCCCUUUACCCAGCCUGACCAAAGGACACCACUUGGAUCAAGUAGGCAAAUAUCUUACAGGAUUGAGGGACCAUACUAAUUAUACCCUCUGCAAAGCCCAACUUGAAUCCUUCCCUUAGGAACUUAAUCGUCCCACUUCCCUUUCCCUAAUUCCACAGCUGUUCAAUAAAGCGCCAGAACCUAA
RNA transcript from Mus musculus (house mouse), 1982 nucleotides. It is a transcript of the gene named chitinase 3 like 1, with no coding region annotated. NCBI's taxonomy places the organism in Eukaryota, Metazoa, Chordata, Mammalia, Rodentia, Muridae. The record is from RefSeq and is marked validated. The transcript is spliced from 10 exons.